Molecule: ribosomal RNA, 253 nt
Filed under: uncultured bacterium
Lineage: Bacteria
Description: partial 16S ribosomal RNA
Rfam family: Bacterial small subunit ribosomal RNA
Source: RNAcentral
UACGAAGGGGGCUAGCGUUGUUCGGAAUUACUGGGCGUAAAGGGCGCGUAGGCGGCCUUCUAAGUCGAACGUGAAAUCCCCGGGCUCAACCCGGGAACUGCGUCCGAUACUGGAAGGCUUGAAUUCGGAAGAGGCGAGUGGAAUUCCUGGUGUAGCGGUGGAAUGCGCAGAUAUCAGGAGGAACACCAAUAGCGAAGGCAGCUCGCUGGGACGUUACUGACACUGAGGCGCGAAAGCGUGGGGAGCGAACAGG